CUCCUGACCUCAUGAUCCGCCCUCCUCGGCCUCCCAAAGUGCUGGGAUUACAGGUGUGAGUCACCGCGCUCGGCCAGGGCAAAUCUCUUUAACUAUUAUAAUUUUCUCAGUUAUAAUCUUGCCAUGGUGGUUUCAAAAGGUGACUGGAAGAAAGCGGAAGGAAUGCUUGCCUCAUCUUGCAGACAUCAGGUGCAUUCCUGAGAAGCUACAGGUGCACAACCUUAGUCAGGCUCUGGGGAUACAGAAGUAACAAGAAGACCAGACCCUUGUUCCAAUGGAGGAGACAUCCUGAAGAUCUUGAUGACCCCCUAUGCAAUGUUCUCAACCUAAUUUCAACAACUGAUAUGGGUGCCAGUCUCC
Molecule: long non-coding RNA, 360 nt
Filed under: Homo sapiens (human)
Lineage: Eukaryota; Metazoa; Chordata; Mammalia; Primates; Hominidae
Description: HSALNT0384378
Source: RNAcentral